CAUAAAUACAAAGUUUGGUAGGUUCAUUGAAAACACGUCAAUUUUUUUUAAGGGAGUCAUAUUUCAUUUUUGUGAAUCACCAUUCAAAAAGAAAUUCUACAUUCUGUGAAUCAAAAUAUAUUUUAAGUGAUUCUACAUUGAUAUUUGCAUUGCUCUCUACAUUCUUUGAAUCAUGAUAUCUCAAUAUCGUCCAGAUUUUCGUGUAAUAAUGAUGGAGAGUAAACUUCUUAGACUUCCAAAGAUAUAUGUGAAAAAAUAUUGGAAAGGAACCUCAAAUCCCAUAUUUUUUAGGCUUCCAAAUGGUGUUCAACACAAAAUAUUCUGGGAAGAACGUGAUGGUGAUGUUUGGUUUCAAAAAAAUUGGAAAGAUUUUGCAAAGUGUUUAAAAUAUGGAGAUAUCUUAACUUUUAAACAUACUGGUGGAGCAUAUUUCAAAGUAAAGAUAUUUGGUAGAAAUUCUUUAGAAAUAAAUUAUUCAAAUAUCAAAUGUUUAGAUGAAGUUGUUGAUUUAAGUGAUGAUGAGAGUGAAGAACGCACACAAACUCAAAAGAGAAAAAAUGGCAAAAGAAAAGUUGCAGAUUUGAAUCCAAGUAGAAACAAAGGUGUGAUUAAGAAGGCCAAGAAAUGUUCAAACAUAGGAAAUAUUGAUGAUGGGAGAGUUAAUAAGGAGAUUCCAUAUUUUGAAGUCACAUUGACACCAACUUAUGUCAAUUAUUAUAGUAUGAGGAUACCAAAUGUGUUUUCAAGAAAAUAUUUGAAAGAGACGGAAGAAAUUGCAAUCUUGAAAGUUGGGGAGGACAUGACUAUGGAAGUGGGGUUCAGGUUUGAUGCUAAUGCCAAAGGAAUGGUUUUUCAAAAUGGUUGGAAGAAUUUUUCACAAAAAUAUAAUUUACAAAUUGGUGAUAUUUGUAAAUUUGUGAUGACACAAUCCAAACCACUUUUAUUUUCCAUUGCUAUUACUCGAGCCAAAAUGGAAUCAAAACCUAAGAAGUUCCAAGGUGUCUCUUCGGGUGAUGAUACAAUUCCAAAAAGAAAAAGCAUUGGAGAAAGUUCUAGAGGUAGAGGUCGCCCAAAAAAACAUGUUUCCAAAGAUAUGGUGUGAAGGUCCAAAUUUGUUGGGAGUUCAAUGCAACAACCUUAACAAGAGAGUUGUAGCACAAGACUUGCACUAUCAAGAUCUAUGGAGUACAGCCAUCUGUAAGUAAUGUGCUCAGUGGUGGUAAAUCAGGAAUCAGUGAAAUGCGAUUGAUUUGUUGAUAUUGGUACGUAGAUAAAACUGUUGAAAUUGUUUCAUUUAGAGCAUAAUAUAAUUAUUUUCUUCACAUUGUCGAUCUAAAUCAACCAUGUCACUCUUUGCAAUGUGUAAUAAAUUGUCUUUCACUCUAGAAGAUUAUCAUAAGUAAAGUAUUUGAAUGUAACUACAUGUGUUGGUGUCAUCGAUUACAGGUGCAUAACUGUGGUUACAUAUGUUCACAUGAUUUGUUGUUUAAGCAUCCAUAUGUAAAAUACGGUUAAAAUUUUGUAGAACAAUGUUAUUUAGUACUCUCUUCUUAUGUCUUGAAUUUGUAGGAAUCGAUGAAAUGCGAUUGAUUU
Molecule: RNA transcript, 1593 nt
Organism: Vicia villosa (hairy vetch)
Lineage: Eukaryota; Viridiplantae; Streptophyta; Magnoliopsida; Fabales; Fabaceae
Gene name: B3 domain-containing protein REM23-like
Exons: 8
Source: RefSeq, a predicted model, not a curated record